AUACCUUACCCUGGCGUAGGGGCUACCGUGAUCAUGAAGGCGGUUCCUCCGGGGUGAGGCUCUUCCAUUAUUGCACUUCGGUCGAGCUGACCCCCGCGAUUACUCCAAAUGUGAGUAACUCGGGCGCAUAAUUUUUGGUAGUCGGGACUUGCGUUCGCGCUGUCCCGG
This is a small nuclear RNA of Schistocerca cancellata (South American locust), 168 nucleotides long. RefSeq annotates it as U1 spliceosomal RNA. NCBI's taxonomy places the organism in Eukaryota, Metazoa, Arthropoda, Insecta, Orthoptera, Acrididae. The transcript has a single exon. The record is from RefSeq and is a predicted model, not a curated record.